Molecule: long non-coding RNA, 540 nt
Organism: Hyla sarda
Lineage: Eukaryota; Metazoa; Chordata; Amphibia; Anura; Hylidae
Exons: 3
Source: RefSeq, a predicted model, not a curated record
AGAAAGUCUGAGGAGAGUGUGAGGUGUUCUGAGGAGGCCUUAAGUCUAACCCUGCAACCACGCAUCUUCUAAAGCAAAUCCCCGGCACCCAGGUCAACAUCAAAGCCUAGCGACAGCUUAGUGUCAGAUGACGCAGUACAUGUCGGCUUCUCCGAAAUUAUAUAGAAUGAGGAGAAAUUAUACAGAAUGAGGAGAAAAGCUGGGGGAGAACACAAGGGAAACAAACCGGAAAGAAAAAACACCAGAUAAUCAACUGUGUUACACAUCAUAAACACAAGGAAAGGAAAAGUUCCAGGGUAGAGGUUCCUGUAGACUUCUGUCCAAAAAAGAUAAAGAAGAUGAAGAGCCUGGCGCUAUGAUCGAGCAUUGAGGCUGGGUGGUCAAGGAUUGGAGCUGGGUGGUUCCAUACGCUUGGGAGGAAGAUGAUGGUAAAUAGGAUCCAGAUCCAGUUGGAUUUGCUGAUCCCCCCCCUCUUCCUCUUCGGGUCCGACCUCUGCCUCUUGGAUUGCUGUUCCAUUGCCCCCCAUGUCUGGUUUUAUA